Molecule: ribosomal RNA, 497 nt
Filed under: uncultured bacterium
Lineage: Bacteria
Description: partial 16S ribosomal RNA
Rfam family: Bacterial small subunit ribosomal RNA
Source: RNAcentral
GAUGAACGCUGGCGGCGUGCCUAGUACAUGCAAGUCGAGCGAACAGACGAGGAGCUUGCUCCUCUGACGUUAGCGGCGGACGGGUGAGUAACACGUGGAUAACCUACCUAUAAGACUGGGAUAACUUCGGGAAACCGGAGCUAAUACCGGAUAAUAUAUUGAACCGCAUGGUUCAAUAGUGAAAGACGGUUUUGCUGUCACUUAUAGAUGGAUCCGCGCCGCAUUAGCUAGUUAGUAAGGUAACGGCUUACCAAGGCAACGAUGCGUAGCCGACCUGAGAGGGUGAUCGGCCACACUGGAACUGAGACACGGUCCAGACUCCUACGGGAGGCAGCAGUAGGGAAUCUUCCGCAAUGGGCGAAAGCUUGACGGAGCAACGCCGCGUGAGUGAUGAAGGUCUUCGGAUCGUAAAACUCUGUUAUUAGGGAAGAACAAAUGUGUAAGUAACUAUGCACGUCUUGACGGUACCUAAUCAGAAAGCCACGGCUAACUACGUG